GAUGAACGCUGGCGGCGUGCCUAACACAUGCAAGUCGAACGGAGUUCUUGAGGAAUGCGACUUCGGUCAAAUGACUUUUGAACUUAGUGGCGGACGGGUGAGUAACGCGUGAGCAACCUGCCUUUCAGAGGGGGAUAACAUUUGGAAACAGAUGCUAAUACCGCAUAAGAUUACAGUACCGCAUGAUACAGUGAUCAAAGGAGCAAUCCGCUGAAAGAUGGGCUCGCGUCCGAUUAGAUAGUUGGUGAGGUAACGGCUCACCAAGUCGACGAUCGGUAGCCGACCUGAGAGGGUGACCGGCCACAUUGGGACUGAGACACGGCCCAGACUCCUACGGGAGGCAGCAGUGGGGGAUAUUGCACAAUGGAGGAAACUCUGAUGCAGCGACGCCGCGUGAGUGAAGAAGUAUUUCGGUAUGUAAAGCUCUAUCAGCAGGAAGAAAUGACGGUACCUGACUAAGAAGCCCCGGCUAACU
This 475-nucleotide ribosomal RNA is filed under the name uncultured bacterium. RNAcentral describes it as "bacterial SSU rRNA". It matches the Rfam family "Bacterial small subunit ribosomal RNA", at positions 28 to 502 of the family's 1533-position model. The record is from RNAcentral.